CGUUGGGGUGAGAAGGACUAGUCCAAGAAAGCAGGGAUAUAUUAUGACUUAUGAAUUCCAAAUUGUGUGACCCUAGCAACUGUAUGAAUUAAAUUCUCUGAAUUUCAGUUUAAUAAACUAUACAAGGGGGAUGAUAAUCUCUUCAUUAGAUGGUUUUGCAAAGCACUCAGUUAAUGACUGUCAAAAUUAAAGUAUGAGUUCAACAAAUGUUCUUUUCUUAGAAAAGGGGGCUAAUUUCUUCUCACCAUGAAUACUUAUUGAUUAGAGAAGAAGUAUCUCUGUUAAAAUUUAAAUCAUUAAAAAUAAACGGUUUAAGAAAAGGUCACAGGGAAAAUGGUAAUACUCUUCCCUGUGUUUUACAUAAUAUUCAAAAGUCUGUUAGUAAUCCUAGGGAGGACAGGAAGUUCAAAUACACUACUGUUUUAAUUUUGUCUAACAACUAGAGAAUUAAGCUCACCUUUCCAGGCAGAUUGCUGUACUAAGCCUUUCCGAGAUGGAAAUUCUGGAGCUUCUACUGAGCAUAUCCUGUGUCCUCUCCCUCCCUCUUUACCUCCCUUUCCUCUCUCUCUCCUUUCAUUUCCCUCUCCCUUUCCAUUCCUUCCAUUUAUUAUGCAGUUGAUUCUGUUUUCUCCACCUUUAAUUACAUCAUUAUGACUGCUUUCAAAAUGAAACUUUCUUUCUGCUCAUAACAUUAAUACCUGUUUAUUGAAGAAUAUAAACAAAAAUUAUAAUAUAUCCAUCACCAAGAAAUGAACACUCUUACCCACUUGAAGUCUUUUCCCCUAGUGUUUGUUCCCUUUCUUUCUCUCUCCAACUGAUCUAGUCAUAUAUUUUAGUAUAGUUACAUGGAAAAAUGGGAUCCUUCUUUAAAAUACAUAUCAAUGGAGUUCCCAUUGUGGCUCAACAGAAAACGAAUCUGACUAGUAUCCAUGAGGAUGCAGGUCCAUCCCUGGUCUUGCUCAGUGGGUUAAGGAUCUGACAUUGUCAUGAGCUGUGGUGUAGGUUGCUGAUGUGGUUUGGAUCUGGUGUUGCUAUAGCUGUGGUGUAGGCCUGUGGCUACAGCUCCAAUUUGACCCCUAGCCUGAGAACCUCCAUAUGCCACAGAUGCGGCUCUUAAAAAAAAAAAGACAAAAAAAAAAUCAAUAUUUCUUUACUUCAGAUCACUUUUCAAUAUCAUUAAAUAAUCUUUGAAAACAUGAUUUGUAAAAUAUGCAAAAUAUUCUUUCUUAAGCAUCCAAUGUAAAUUAGUUAAGCUAAUAUUUGACAUAGGCAUUGUUUCUAGCUUUUUGUCUAUUAUAAAUAAUAAGGCCUUGACCAUUCCCAAAUAUAAAUAAUUUAUGAAUCUUUGAUAAUCUCGAGUACUGGAUCAACUGAAAAAAAAUAUUGUUAAUAUUCUUAAUUCAUUUUCAAACAGCCCUGCAAAACACUUAUACCCUAGAAAGCUUAUUGAGUGCUUUCUGAUAAUGAUUACAGUUCCUAUUUAUUUAUUUUUUUUUUUUUUUAGGGCUAAACCCAGGGCAUAUGGAAAUUCCCAGGAUGGGGGUUGAAUCAGAGCUACAGCUGCCUGCCUAUGCCACAGCCACAGCAACGCAAGAUCUAAGCUGCCUCUGUGAUCUACACCACAGUUCACGGCAACGCCAGAUCCUUAAUCCACUGAGCAAGGCCAGGGAUCAAACCUGCAUCCUCAAGGAUCCUAGUCAGAUUCUUUACUGCUGAGCCACUAUGGGAACUCCCUCCAGUUUAUUUAAAAGUAGACUAUGUAUUUAUUAUUUUUUACUUAUUUAUUUGCUGUAUCUGUGGAUCAAAUUCAUGAUUUAAGUUGCUCCUUUCAGUAGUAAUUCUGUUUGUGAUUUUUAUUAUUAUUUUACAAAUUACAUAAAUUUUACAAAUAAUAAUAAUAAUAAAAUAAUUUACUUUAUGUAGUAAAUGAUUUUGUGACUAUAAGUAUCACCGACCUAAACAUGAUGAAAGAUGAAAUAAAUGCAGUUUUAGACAGGCCAAGACAAUCAUUCUAGAAUUAGUGACAGGCUGAACUAUUGAGGAUUGAUUUUAUUGGACUUUUUCUUUUUUUGCUGUAAAUUAUUUACCAACUCAAGGAUAGCUGAACACUUUUCUGUUUUCUGCAGAUGGUGCCCAGUAUAAAAUCAUUUCUCUAAUGCAAUGCAUAAGGUGAUGUGUUAUAAAUUCGUAAAAUAUAAAAUAAUGCAUUUGUCAGAUGCUGCCAGAAAUAAAGGGAAAUGUGUUUUUCUUCUUUUUCUUUUGUAAGUAAAUAGCAGGAUUUAGUUUGUCACACUGGUGAAAAUUUCUUUAUAAGUCUUUGCUAAGUGCCAGUGUUCCUGCUUUGCUCAGUCAGCAAGUUUGAAACCUCAAAGGGCAUUUGGCUAUAUCACAGGAGAAAGGUAAAGACGGGGAGAGGAUGGAUUCCUAGACUUAUGUGUAGGGUUCAAUUUGGGAAACUACCUGAAAACUACAAGGAGGGGAAUAGAAAGGAUGAACGUUCAUGCAACAAUGGGGAGAGAGAGAUUUUUAUUUUAAAAAUGAUGUAGGAGAGUUCCCUUCAUGGCUCAGGGGUUAAUGCUCCCAACUAGGAUCCAUGAGAAUGCGGGUUUGAUCCCUGGCCUCAUUCAGUGGGUUAAGGAUCUGCCGUUGCUCUGAGCUGUGGUGUAGGUCGAAGACGUGGCCCAGAUCCCGAGUUGCUGUGGCUAUGGCGUAGACUGGCAGCUACAGCUCUGAUUCAACCCCUAGCCUGGGCACGUCCAUAUGCUGCGGGUGCAGCCCUAAAAAGCUAAAAAAAAGAAAAAAAAAUUAGGAAGAGAGAAAGAAGGAAAGAAAGAGAGGCAGGGGAGAAAGGGAGGAGGGAAGAAGGAAGGAAGGGGGAGAGGAAAGAGCCAGAAAGAGAAAAGAGCUUCUCUGGAGAAAAAGAAAUAAACCUUCAUGAAAAUGACUCCAGUAUACCUCCUAAUCUGGAGCAAUAUAGUUUAAAUAUAGUUCCUAAUCUGUAGUGGAAAACACAUGAAUGAAGAGACAUCAAUAUUGCUUCCAGAGCAUAGGACACUAACAUGGCUAAGAGCACCACAGCUCAGAAGGGCAGACUGAAGCUUGAAUGCAAGUAUAGUUUUAUUUGAGCCACAAGAAUUUUGUAUCUUUUUCCCUCUUGCUUCUUUCUCUCCCCUUUGACCCUCUGUGUGGGUGCUAAGCUUAUUGUAGAUUUAUAUCCUAUGGAAAUGUUCAGUGUAUGAAAAUAGCAAUCAGAACCCAAAGAAAUUCACUUUGUGAGCCUUCUCUUGAUAAUAAAUAGAUCUAGGACUUUCCUUUUAAAAUAAUGCUCCUGGUUGAUAUUUGAAAAUUAUGGAAUUAUUUAUUUGAUGUUGUAUUUAUCACUAGCCUCUCUGUAGCCUCCUCAUUUAAAAUGCAUUGAUUCCUGAAGGUUAGCAAAGAUCCUAUUUUAUGUGAUCUUCUUACAUGAUAGUAGCAAUUUGGUCAGUGCAAUGUUGAAUUUCAUUGAGCCAAAAUGAAAUCUCCUCUUACCUGUAUUUCUGUAGUAUUUCACACACUGGCCAUAUUAUUUAUUUAUUUGCUUUUUUUUUUUUUUUUUUAAAGGCUGCACCUGAGGCUUAUGGAAGUUCCCAGGCUAGGGGUCAAAACAGAGCUGCAGCUGCCAGCCUACACCACAGCCACAGCAACAUGGAAUCUAAGCCCUUCCUACACCACAGCUCAUGGCAAUGCCUGAUCGUUAACCCACUGAGAAGGUCAGGCAGGGAUCAAAGGUGAAUCUUCAUGGAUACUAAUCGGGUUCAUUACUGCUGAGCCUCACCAGAACCUCCUGGUCAUAUUAUUUCAAAAUGGAACUAUUUCAGACUCAGUUUUGUUGGAGACCCCUAAGAUGAUUUUUGGAGAGAACUGUAAGUGUGCUUUAAAUUAUCUUUCUCCCCUAAUGCCCUACCCAUGGAAGAGGUGGGGGGACACUUGUCCCCCACAUCAAGAUGGUAUAUGUUCCUUGGAGCUUGGUGAACUAGCGUCUGACUCACAUCUGAUAAACCAAAGAAUGAGAGGCCAUGUAACUACUGUGAUGGCGGUUUCAGGAGGGCUUAAAACACUGGGCAGUCUCUGCCUCCAGAGUUGUCUGGACAAAGGCUGCCUGGGCAGUAUCUGUAUGCCAGAUAAAGGAAAGCUGACUACAAUCAUGUUCAAAGAAGACUGAAAGUCCUGGAAAACCCAACAGCUUACCACUAUGAGAGAUAGUGUCCAUCAUAGGCAGUGACAGUGGUGGGAAUGAAUGGGCAUUAUCACAGAGCAGGAGGGGCUGGAGUCCAUGGAAUCAGUGAUGCCCAGGAAGGCAAGACAGAUUCCUGGGAAGAACACCUCUGCAGUGCACAUGUAAGACCUGCCUGGAGGCUCUCAGGGAGGUUUUUAAAAACCCUGGGGAAAUUUUACAACACUGUGCAUGACCAGAAUUCUUGGCUUAAAGUUGAGGAUUAGAGGAGCCAAAUUUGCAAAUGUAUAAAGGUAGGCGAAGAGUUUGCCCAGACAGGUGAAACAGCACAUAUAUAGGCCCUGAAGACAUACUUUACAGACUGACCUAAAAUCAGCACAGUCCUCCUAGGCGGAAUUUAGGGGCAGACUUAAGGAUAGGCUAAGAUGAGAACUUGUGGCUGCCAUUUCUCUGCUAAAGACAGGACAUCAAAUUUUGAAGACUAUAGCAUCAUAAAACUAUCUGAAAAUGCUAUCUUUUGCCCCAAUAUUUACUCUAUUAGUGGUGAUAUAAUUAUUUUGAAGAUAUAAAACUUAAAUUUGAAUGUUCUCUCAGAGUAUAGCACCGUCUUAUGACAUACAAUUCACACCACAUUCACUAAUAAUUAGGUAUUGAAUUAUUAAAAAGAGGAUAUAAGAUUGUCUGCUUCCUACCACUAGGACACACUUGGCCCCACAAAAAUCAUAAAAAUUAAAUGACUGAAAAAUCUUCAAAUAGAAUGAGUCAUGAAGUUCCCAUGGUGCCGAAGUGGAAACUAAUCUGACUAGUAUCCAUGAGGAUGAAGGUUCAAACCCUGGCC
RNAcentral lists this long non-coding RNA (5051 nucleotides) under Sus scrofa (pig). RNAcentral's name for it is "lncRNA (ENSSSCG00000061237.1)". The record is from RNAcentral. Lineage: Eukaryota; Metazoa; Chordata; Mammalia; Artiodactyla; Suidae.